AAUAAAGUGCCUGAAAAAGGAUUAUUUUGAUGUAAUAAUUUAUAUGAAUUAAAAUUUUAUUCAUCUUUAUUA
RNAcentral lists this transfer RNA (72 nucleotides) under Helorus sp. ZJUH_2016017. RNAcentral's name for it is "tRNA-Ile". Lineage: Eukaryota; Metazoa; Arthropoda; Insecta; Hymenoptera; Heloridae. The record is from RNAcentral.